GAAAGUUUUCUCUCCAUGUUUCCUCCGAUAAACGCUCUCUGCCUGCAAAUUCUUCAACCACUGCUCUUAUUCUAUAUUUCUGUAUUAACUGUCUUCUUCUUCUUCUCCUUCAAUUUGUUCUCCAUAGGUCUCGUCCUUUUUCUUUCAUUGUUUCUUCUAGUCAUGUCUGCAAUGAGAAGAUGGAAGAAGCUCACACGCAUUCCUCUCCUUUUUUCUCGUCCUGAUCGCUCUCUCCACCGUUUCCUUCAGCUUUCCAC
Molecule: unclassified non-coding RNA, 257 nt
Filed under: Hevea brasiliensis (rubber tree)
Lineage: Eukaryota; Viridiplantae; Streptophyta; Magnoliopsida; Malpighiales; Euphorbiaceae
Source: RNAcentral